Acanthosepion pharaonis is the source of this 107-nucleotide non-coding RNA. The record is from the annotation of a GenBank genome assembly. NCBI's taxonomy places the organism in Eukaryota, Metazoa, Mollusca, Cephalopoda, Sepiida, Sepiidae.
UUACGGCCAAAUCACGGUGAAACACCGGUUCCCGUACGAUUACCGAAGUUGAGCAACGUCGAGCCAGGUCAUUACCUAGAUGGGUAAUAGCUUGGGAAUAGGGGGUG